This 83-nucleotide microRNA precursor is filed under the name Chlorocebus sabaeus (green monkey). Its description in RNAcentral is "miRNA (ENSCSAG00000026616.1)". Lineage: Eukaryota; Metazoa; Chordata; Mammalia; Primates; Cercopithecidae. The record is from RNAcentral.
GGUCAAAACUCCUGUGCUGAUCAGUAGUGGGAUUCUGCCAAUGAAUAGCCACUACACUCCAGCCUGGGCAACAUAGUGAGACC